AAAAUCAUAGCCCAAAAUCCAUGUUCCAUAAUAUAGAAAAAAACCAAUCAAAUACAAAUGCUCAGCUUAUGGGUGGGUAAAUUCUGAUUCGAUAAGUUCAUUUUUCGGGAUCUAGAUGGGUAGAUAGCCACCCUCGCCAUGCCAUAGAUAUGCCCCUACUCCUAGACAUUAGCUGCCUCCGUCAUUGCCUUUGUUAGUCCACUCCAAUAUCUCAAUAGUACCGAGAAUGAUAUAAUAACACAGUAACAUGUAAUUAUUGUUAGCCUUAUAAGGUUAUACAAUUAAAACACAAACGAAUAAGUGACUGACCUGAUUCCAAUGGUAGUUAUCGAAGAUGCAGCAGCCAUGCAAGCAAGACGUGAUCGAUAAAACUCCAAACUUUAUGUUUGCCAUGACAAACAGAAACGCCAACUCUUUUGUAAACUCUUAACUUUAUGACAAUGCUCUAUGAGAAGCCUUAGUUGUUGUGUUUAGGGUUAGCAGGGACCGGUGUUUAUAUACUAGCCAAAAAGUCUUAGAUUUCGUCCAUAAGGGAAAACUAAAACUCUUAUUUCUUGGCUCUCAAGUAAAAUAUCAUAAUCAUAUAUUAUUAAGGAUUCCAUCAAUCCUAUUUCCAAUAUAAGACACCUUAUAUAGAAUUAAUAUCUUUAAGAGAUUAAAUCACAAUCAACAUUAUUCUCCAAUAUUACAUUCCUAUUACAUGUAGUAGACCACUUAAAGUUGAUUUAUAUUGGAUAAAUCCAACAAUUAGUUGUAUUGAGUACAACAAAUUGUUAAGGAAACACUUUAUAAGUAGGACAAUACUUAGGUACUAAACAGUCAGUACCUAAUUUCACUGACCAUCUAUGUGGCCCAAUAAGUUUGAACCAGCUGUCAAUCCAAUGACCUUGCCAUCUUCCUCCUCUCCAACAAGUCUGCAAGAUCUUCACAGCCGGCCACUGUGAACUCCUCGACUCCGCCAUUUCAAGACUUCACCAAUCUUAUCCUCCACAGCCACGCCGAGCUCAAUGAUCGGCCAUUCGUAAUCCUUGUCCUCGCAAGUUGGUGGCAUCCACGUCAUACCCGCAUAGCUGCGUCACCGUCAAUCUCAUUGCAGCAGUGGAAUCAACGGUUGGAUGGGAUUGGGACCGGGGGGGGGGGGGAGAAGAUGGAGGAAAGAAGAUGGGCUGAAGAAGAAACCAUAGCCAUGGCAUGGGGAUUAGUAGACAUUGAAGAAGAAGAGUUCUGUUUGGUAUUGGGUUUAAAAGGGUUGGUUUGCGUUUGGUUACGAGGAUAGCAAAAGUUGAAAUUGACAUAUUUCUUAAAUUUAUUGGGCCACGUAGAUGGUUAGUGAAAUUGGGUACUGAUUGUUCAGUACCUAAGUAUUAUCCUUAUAAAUAAGUGAAAAGCAAGCAUGCAUCAUAGGUUGCAACUUCAUUCAAAUCUCUCCACGGUCAGCUUGUAAAUCAAUACAAAUGCUAUGACUUAUGCAGCACGCAAGAUGGAUGAGGCGAAAUUAGAGCAUGCUCAUAAUGUGUUAGCUAGCUAGCUGGGCGAUCAUUGUGGGAUCUCUUUUUUUUUUUUUCCUUCUCUCUCUUGUUAAUUCAUUUUGGAUUCUUUUUCUAUUAUCUCUCGUCUCUUCACACUCUUUUCCAACCUUUUCAUUGGUAAAUUAUAAGUCGUUGCAAG
Molecule: long non-coding RNA, 1668 nt
Filed under: Malus domestica (apple)
Lineage: Eukaryota; Viridiplantae; Streptophyta; Magnoliopsida; Rosales; Rosaceae
Description: long non-coding RNA (MDOM_LNC004002)
Source: RNAcentral